AGGACGAACGCUGGCGGCGUGCUUCACACAUGCAAGUCGAACGGGGCUCAUUCGGUGGUAACACCGGAGAAGGCCUAGUGGCGAACGGGUGCGUAACACGUGAAGAACCUGCCCCGAAGACUGGGAUAACAGCGGGAAACCGCUGCUAAUACCGGAUGACCCCACCAGGCCGCAUGGCCAGGUGAGGAAAUGGGCCUACCGCUUCGGGAGGGCUUCGCGGCCUAUCAGCUUGUUGGUGGGUAACGGCCUACCAAGGCUACGACGGGUAGCUGGUCUGAGAGGACGACCAGCCACACUGGGACUGAGACACGGCCCAGACUCCUACGGGAGGCAGCAGUGGGGAAUCUUGCGCAAUGGGCGAAAGCCUGACGCAGCAACGCCGCGUGAGGGAUGAAGGUCUUCGGGUUGUAAACCUCUUUCGAGCAGGGACGAUUGUGACGGUACCUGCAGAAGAAGCUCCGGCCAACUACGCGCCAGCAGCCGCGGU
RNAcentral lists this ribosomal RNA (487 nucleotides) under uncultured bacterium. RNAcentral's name for it is "SSU rRNA". It matches the Rfam family "Bacterial small subunit ribosomal RNA", at positions 26 to 521 of the family's 1533-position model. The record is from RNAcentral.